GACGAACGCUGGCGGCGUGCUUAACACAUGCAAGUCGAACGGAAAGGCCCUGCUUUUGUGGGGUGCUCGAGUGGCGAACGGGGGAGUAACACGUGAGUAACCUGCCCUUGACAUUGGGAUAACUUCAGGAAAAUGGGGCUCAUACAGGAUAUGAGAUACUGCUGCAUGGUGGGGGUUGGAAAGUUUCGGCGGUUGGGGAUGGACUCGCGGCUUAUCAGCUUGUUGGUGGGGUAGUGGCUUACAAAGGCUUUGACGGGUAGCCGGCCUGAGAGGGUGAACGGCCACAUGGCGCCUGAGAUACGGCGCAGACUCCGACGGGCGGCAGCAGUGGAGAAUAUUGCACAAUGGGCGGAAGCCUGAUGCAGCAACGCCGCGUGCGGGAUGACGGCCUUCGAGUUGUAAACCGCUUUCUCCUGUGACGAAGCGUGAGUGACGGUACUGGGUAAAGAAGCACCGGCUAACUACGUG
This 468-nucleotide ribosomal RNA is filed under the name uncultured bacterium. RNAcentral's name for it is "partial 16S ribosomal RNA". It matches the Rfam family "Bacterial small subunit ribosomal RNA", at positions 28 to 507 of the family's 1533-position model. The record is from RNAcentral.